Molecule: ribosomal RNA, 23 nt
Filed under: Ficus binnendijkii
Lineage: Eukaryota; Viridiplantae; Streptophyta; Magnoliopsida; Rosales; Moraceae
Description: partial 18S ribosomal RNA
Source: RNAcentral
ACUGCCAGCAGAGGCCGGCGAAC